RNAcentral lists this ribosomal RNA (1803 nucleotides) under Haloarcula marismortui ATCC 33799. RNAcentral describes it as "bacterial LSU rRNA". It matches the Rfam family "Archaeal large subunit ribosomal RNA", at positions 392 to 2230 of the family's 2987-position model. Lineage: Archaea; Methanobacteriati; Methanobacteriota; Halobacteria; Halobacteriales; Haloarculaceae. The record is from RNAcentral.
UGCGGUAGUGCCAGAGUAGCGGGGGUUGGAUAUCCCUCGCGAAUAACGCAGGCAUCGACUGCGAAGGCUAAACACAACCUGAGACCGAUAGUGAACAAGUAGUGUGAACGAACGCUGCAAAGUACCCUCAGAAGGGAGGCGAAAUAGAGCAUGAAAUCAGUUGGCGAUCGAGCGACAGGGCAUACAAGGUCCCUUGACGAAUGACCGAGACGCGAGUCUCCAGUAAGACUCACGGGAAGCCGAUGUUCUGUCGUACGUUUUGAAAAACGAGCCAGGGAGUGUGUCUGUAUGGCAAGUCUAACCGGAGUAUCCGGGGGAGGCACAGGGAAACCGACAUGGCCGCAGGGCUUUGCCCGAGGGCCGCCGUCUUCAAGGGCGGGGAGCCAUGUGGACACGACCCGAAUCCGGACGAUCUACGCAUGGACAAGAUGAAGCGUGCCGAAAGGCACGUGGAAGUCUGUUAGAGUUGGUGUCCUACAAUACCCUCUCGUGAUCUAUGUGUAGGGGUGAAAGGCCCAUCGAGUCCGGCAACAGCUGGUUCCAAUCGAAACAUGUCGAAGCAUGACCUCCGCCGAGGUAGUCUGUGAGGUAGAGCGACCGAUUGGUGUGUCCGCCUCCGAGAGGAGUCGGCACACCUGUCAAACUCCAAACUUACAGACGCCGUUUGACGCGGGGAUUCCGGUGCGCGGGGUAAGCCUGUGUACCAGGAGGGGAACAACCCAGAGAUAGGUUAAGGUCCCCAAGUGUGGAUUAAGUGUAAUCCUCUGAAGGUGGUCUCGAGCCCUAGACAGCCGGGAGGUGAGCUUAGAAGCAGCUACCCUCUAAGAAAAGCGUAACAGCUUACCGGCCGAGGUUUGAGGCGCCCAAAAUGAUCGGGACUCAAAUCCACCACCGAGACCUGUCCGUACCACUCAUACUGGUAAUCGAGUAGAUUGGCGCUCUAAUUGGAUGGAAGCGGGGGCGAGAGCUCCUGUGGACCGAUUAGUGACGAAAAUCCUGGCCAUAGUAGCAGCGAUAGUCGGGUGAGAACCCCGACGGCCUAAUGGAUAAGGGUUCCUCAGCACUGCUGAUCAGCUGAGGGUUAGCCGGUCCUAAGUCUCACCGCAACUCGACUGAGACGAAAUGGGAAACGGGUUAAUAUUCCCGUGCCACUAUGCAGUGAAAGUUGACGCCCUGGGGUCGAUCACGCCGGGCAUUCGCCCGGUCGAACCGUCCAACUCCGUGGAAGCCGUAAUGGCAGAAGCGGACGAACGGCGGUAUAGGGAAACGUGAUUCAACCUGGGGCCCAUGAAAAGACGAGCAUAGUGUCCGUACCGAGAACCGACACAGGUGUCCAUGGCGGCGAAAGCCAAGGCCUGUCGGGAGCAACCAACGUUAGGGAAUUCGGCAAGUUAGUCCCGUACCUUCGGAAGAAGGGAUGCCUGCUCCGGAACGGAGCAGGUCGCAGUGACUCGGAAGCUCGGACUGUCUAGUAACAACAUAGGUGACCGCAAAUCCGCAAGGACUCGUACGGUCACUGAAUCCUGCCCAGUGCAGGUAUCUGAACACCUCGUACAAGAGGACGAAGGACCUGUCAACGGCGGGGGUAACUAUGACCCUCUUAAGGUAGCGUAGUACCUUGCCGCAUCAGUAGCGGCUUGCAUGAAUGGAUUAACCAGAGCUUCACUGUCCCAACGUUGGGCCCGGUGAACUGUACAUUCCAGUGCGGAGUCUGGAGACACCCAGGGGGAAGCGAAGACCCUAUGGAGCUUUACUGCAGGCUGUCGCUGAGACGUGGUCGCCGAUGUGCAGCAUAGGUAGGAG